This 425-nucleotide ribosomal RNA is filed under the name uncultured bacterium. RNAcentral describes it as "partial 16S ribosomal RNA". It matches the Rfam family "Bacterial small subunit ribosomal RNA", at positions 359 to 775 of the family's 1533-position model. The record is from RNAcentral.
GAAUAUUGGACAAUGGGGGGAACCCUGAUCCAGCCAUGCCGCGUGUGUGAAGAAGGCCUUUUGGUUUUAAAGCACUUUAAGCGAGGAGGAGGCUUCUCUAGCUCAUACCUAGCGAUAGUGGACGUUACUCGCAGAAUAAGCGCAGGCUACCUCCGUGCGCGCUGCCGCGGUAAUACAGAGGGUGCAAGCGUUAAUCGGAUUUACUGGGCGUAAAGCGCGCGUAGGUGGCCAAUUAAGUCAAAUGUGAAAUCCCCGAGCUUAACUUGGGAAUUGCAUUCGAUACUGGUUGGCUAGAGUAUGGGAGAGGAGGGUAGAAUUCCAGGUGUAGCGGUGAAAUGCGUAGAGAUCUGGAGGAAUACCGAUGGCGAAGGCAGCCAUCUGGCAUAAUACUGACACUGAGGUGCGAAAGCAUGGGGAGCAAACAG